Molecule: ribosomal RNA, 312 nt
Filed under: uncultured bacterium
Lineage: Bacteria
Description: bacterial SSU rRNA
Rfam family: Bacterial small subunit ribosomal RNA
Source: RNAcentral
GAUGAACGCUGGCGGCGUGCCUAAUACAUGCAAGUCGAACGCAUUGUGGUUGAAAUGAUAUGAAGAACUUGUUCAGAUUUGAUUUUCAACAUUGCAAUGAGUGGCGAACGGGUGAGUAACACGUGGGAAACCUACCUCUUAGCAGGGGAUAACAUUUGGAAACAAAUGCUAAUACCGUAUAAUAAUUAAAACCGCAUGGUUUUAGUUUAAAAGAAUGGUCUUGCUAUCACUAAGAGAUGGUCCCGCGGUGUAUUAGUUAGUUGGUGAGGUAAUGGCUCACCAAGACAAUGAUACAUAGCCGAGUUGAGAGAC